UACGGGGGGGGCAAGCGUUGUUCGGAAUUAUUGGGCGUAAAGGGCUCGUAGGUGGCCAACUAAGUCAGACGUGAAAUCCCUCGGCUUAACCGGGGAACUGCGUCUGAUACUGGAUGGCUUGAGUUUGGGAGAGGGAUGCGGAAUUCCAGGUGUAGCGGUGAAAUGCGUAGAUAUCUGGAGGAACACCGGUGGCGAAGGCGGCAUCCUGGACCAACACUGACACUGAGGAGCGAAAGCCAGGGGAGCAAACGGG
RNAcentral lists this ribosomal RNA (253 nucleotides) under uncultured bacterium. RNAcentral's name for it is "partial 16S ribosomal RNA". It matches the Rfam family "Bacterial small subunit ribosomal RNA", at positions 524 to 776 of the family's 1533-position model. The record is from RNAcentral.